Molecule: unclassified non-coding RNA, 3575 nt
Filed under: Camponotus floridanus (Florida carpenter ant)
Lineage: Eukaryota; Metazoa; Arthropoda; Insecta; Hymenoptera; Formicidae
Description: uncharacterized LOC105248507, transcript variant X3
Source: RNAcentral
AUGUCUGCGAUUGAACUGGAGAAUGUUUUGCAGCAGAUAUUCAUGGAAUGCGACGCAUCCUUGUCAAUUUCGACGCCGGAAUCGACGAUGUCUAUAGGUGACGAGGUGCCGAUCUCCAAGAUCGUCCAAUACGUUCAGGAGCAAUUGCCGACCUGGUCAAUCGACGAUCUGGCAGAGUUUUGGAAAUGUCUGACCGCCGUUUCGUCGAACGAUCGCGUGAACUUGUGGCAAUUCAAGGAGGCGACCAAGUGCUGGAUUACCAAGAUGCAACAGAUACAUUCUUCGCAGGACGAUAAUAACAACGCGCGGGAAAAACUCUACUUCAUGAGCGACACAGAUUCAUCGAUGAAAGACAUGGACAUAAAUAGAGACAUCGUGGAAUUGGGACUCCGCGUAAAACUUCGGGAACUUCACGAGGAGAACAUCCUCCUUCGCGAUGAGCUCGAACGGCAUGAGACGUCAAUCGACAAUCUCAAACAGCAAUGUAACAUUGCUGAGAGGCAACUAGAUCGUUACGUUCAGAAAUGCCAGCAACUCGAAAGAGAGAACGACGAGCAGAGAGAUCAAUUAAAUGAGGCAAUUAAGAACGGAAAGGCUACGGCCUUGACUCUUCAAAGAUGCACGAAAGAGCAGCAAAAUUUGUCGAGGCAAUUGGAAGCCGCAGAGAUUGAGGUACAAACUAUACCAUCUUUAAAAUGUAAAGUGGAAAAAAUCAGCAAAGAGAAAAUUGACUUUAUGAAACAAAUCGCUAAAUUGCAAGAGAAAUUUGAUGAGACAGAAGAUGAGUGUAAACAAUUAAAAGUCACAAUAGCUGAAAUGGAGGAAAUAAAUAUCAAGAUGAGAGAGAGCUACGAUCAGACGAUUCAUAGUCUGCGCGAAAAAAACUGUCAACUUACGGAGGAGAACACGGAACUGCAAUCGUUGUCGGUUAUUAAUAGACAUUCUUCCGGAGAAAGACUUUCGUUAUCGACAAUUCCUGAUAUAGACGGAUGUUACACACACAGCACACCUUAUAAAUCAGGAAAGAUAUUGCUGCAAGAUUCAUUAUACGCGGAAUUGAAAGCUUCAGGUUUUGUGACUGAAUGCAGCAAAUAUGACUCAUGUAGACAAGAAUUGGAUGAAUAUGACACUGCGAUUUCGACGACAUUGGAAGAGCUGGAUAAAGUUGUACAAAUUUUUGGUAAAACGCGGAGCUUUAUCGACGAUGUAUCCAAGUCCAGCUCGCAAGACAUGAACGCGGCAACUUGGAAUAUCGAGGCAUUGAAACACAAAGUGACUUUCUUACAGAAUAUGGCAAACGAAGAGGUCACGAGGAAGAGCACCAAGGAUUCGAGCACGCAGCUUCGAGCCGAUCCAGUGAUUGGAUCGAGCGACGAUUUGGAUCAAUUUGGCGUCACGGGUUUCCGAGAUUUAUUGCUGACACGCGCCCAGCCGUAUACAAAGACUGAAACGGAUCUGCGCCUUAUAACUUUAUGUAACCUCGUGAACAACGAUGAUCAUGAUGAUUCAUUCUCGAGAGUCAUAAAAACAUGCAACACGGGCACUCAAAAUCGACUCCGUAUCAUUGAACCUAUCAUCGAAGAGCUAUACGACAUCAUCGAGAGCACUCAUAAAGCUCUUAUCAAUCACAGAAAUCAUUCACCGUCCGGGAACUCAAGGUAUCGAUCGGUGCACACGUUGCCCUCGCACUCUCCGCAACCAUCUUCGCCGAAAGAGCAGCGGACAUUCAGCUGUCAAAGUUCAAUCAUAGACUUCCCCGAUGUUUCCCUCGCGCGGGGGGACUUUUGUUUGAAGCGGGAAGACCACGACGGGAAAUCAUCCCCUACAGAACCGCACGAUGUUUCCGGAAAAGGAAACCUGACCCCGAAAGAAUCGAACAUCCUGCAAAUGGAUUCGACGACAUUAGCAACGACAUCAGGGGAGGAAAAGACGAGCGCCAAGAUUGUCGAAGAAGCAACCAGCGCGAGCAACUCACCAAGUCCCCGUAGGAAAAUUUCGGUCUACUGUCGAUCCUUCAACGUGGUGACGGUGCAGGACGCGUGCGAGGAUCCUCAAGGAUCCAAUAGAGAAGUCAGACGAUCGCCGAGUAAUCUUGGCGAGUCUUCCGCGCGAAUCGACGAGAGGCUCGUUCCAGAGAAGGAUCAAAAUAGCACGUCUAAGUAUCCAUUCGAUCACAAUUAUCGGAACACGAAGAACGACAGCGAUUCGUCGAACGGCUCGACGCCGCAGAAGCAAUUCCAGGACAGUCCAUUGGAAGACGAAUUGCCGAUCGAACAGCCGGUACUUAGAAGAGUCUGCUUAGCGCCUACGCGUUUGAAACUUCCGCAAAGAAUUAACAAAUUAAACGAUACCGCUUGUGUCCCCGACUCCACCGAACCGAAUGUUUCCAAUUCUUCCCUGUCUUCUGUCGCUGACGAUGAAUGCGACGAAGACGACAAUGCUUUGCGCUCGUCUGCGACGUUCAUCAUAGACAAGUGCGAAACGGAAAUACAGGAUGGAUUAGGUGAAUCGAAAUCGUGUUCGGGGAAUUUUCCUCGGGAACGUUCUACAUCAGCUCGUCGCUUAUUUCCAUGUAAUCACACCGAUUCAAGGAAAAUCGUGGAUUCAGAGAAUCCCCACUCUCAGGCGAGCGUGCAAAGAGUCGAGAGUGAAUCGCGAAUCGCGCGGUCAGUCGAUGGCCAAAUGUCGAGUCGCGAGGAUAGUUCGGACAGCGAGUGCGAGCCGGCAACGAAGUCGACUGAUCGAGGCAUUGCUGAGAAAAUCGAUACAGCCGCCAGUGCCGUGUCGUCCACAUCGUCCAACGAUCUGGCCUCCGCGGCGAUAGUUUCUUGCAAGAGCGAGGUGCAGGAGAAGACAAAGACAUGCGACAGGAACCUGUUGAACGCGAAGCAGGAAAAACGACAGCGGCUUUUAUUCACCAGAAGGUCAUUCUCGGAGAGUGAAAGUAACGGCCGAUUGAGAUGCCGUUGCAAGCAUCAGGAAAGCGCGCCUUUGAUUCCGGAAGGAGAUCAGCGCAGAGUUUUUCCGAGCCUCACGGACUUUCGUCUGCAAGAAUCCGGAAUAGCCAAUUUAUCAUCGGACACGGACAACAGGGAGAACCUCAGCGAGCUCGAAUUGCAGAAGAGGUACAUAGUGUUUUCGCUAUGCCUUUGCACAGAUAGGUUGACUCUAUCGCGAAGGAUAGCAUUGUCGGUUCGGCAGCGCGAUCAAUCGGAGAAAAAUCUCUCCUGGGAGGUGCAGAAGAUGCAGCAGGACAUCCAGGGAAUCCGUGGAACGGGUGGAGCGGGUCAGACAUCAGUUGGAGAUGAUUGUGCGAUGUGCGCACAGGGUGUCCUGCGCGGCCGAGACUCUAGGCGCCGUUUACCAGGAGCAUAGGGUUUCCCGAGCCGUUCAGGUGGCCGACAGGUACCUCCAGUUGCUGCAUUCCCGAUGCGAGAAGCUGAUUGCCGAUGUCGCUGAGACUAAGCGGAUCUUGGCAGAGAACAAUAUAGUGAUAGAGGAGAACUCUGGCGAGUUUUGUGAUGAUCUGCCCCGGAUCAGAUACAGGAGCGGGACACCCGUCAAUAAUCGUAUAA